GGCUCGUUGGUCAAGAGGUUAAGACACCGCCCUUUCACGGCGGUAACAGGGGUUCAAUUCCC
RNAcentral lists this transfer RNA (62 nucleotides) under Clostridioides difficile. Its description in RNAcentral is "tRNA-Glu". It matches the Rfam family "tRNA", at positions 1 to 61 of the family's 71-position model. Rfam says of the family: Transfer RNA (tRNA) molecules are approximately 80 nucleotides in length. Their secondary structure includes four short double-helical elements and three loops (D, anti-codon, and T loops). Lineage: Bacteria; Bacillati; Bacillota; Clostridia; Peptostreptococcales; Peptostreptococcaceae. The record is from RNAcentral.